RNAcentral lists this ribosomal RNA (497 nucleotides) under uncultured bacterium. RNAcentral describes it as "partial 16S ribosomal RNA". It matches the Rfam family "Bacterial small subunit ribosomal RNA", at positions 28 to 507 of the family's 1533-position model. The record is from RNAcentral.
GAUGAACGCUGGCGGCGUGCCCAAUUCAUGCAAGUCGAGCGAACAGACGAGGAGCUUGCUCCUCUGACGUUAGCGGCGGACGGGUGAGUAACACGUGGAUAACCUACCUAUAAGACUGGGAUAACUUCGGGAAACCGGAGCUAAUACCGGAUAAUAUAUUGAACCGCAUGGUUCAAUAGUGAAAGACGGUUUUGCUGUCACUUAUAGAUGGAUCCGCGCCGCAUUAGCUAGUUGGUAAGGUAACGGCUUACCAAGGCAACGAUGCGUAGCCGACCUGAGAGGGUGAUCGGCCACACUGGAACUGAGACACGGUCCAGACUCCUACGGGAGGCAGCAGUAGGGAAUCUUCCGCAAUGGGCGAAAGCCUGACGGAGCAACGCCGCGUGAGUGAUGAAGGUCUUCGGAUCGUAAAACUCUGUUAUUAGGGAAGAACAAAUGUGUAAGUAACUAUGCACGUCUUGACGGUACCUAAUCAGAAAGCCACGGCUAACUACGUG